Molecule: long non-coding RNA, 829 nt
Organism: Aegilops tauschii subsp. strangulata
Lineage: Eukaryota; Viridiplantae; Streptophyta; Magnoliopsida; Poales; Poaceae
Source: RefSeq, a predicted model, not a curated record
AUGGCGUGGAACGUCACGGGUCCGACCCAUUGCCGAGCAUCGUUCUCGUGUUCAGUAGGGAGAUGGGUCACCGCCUCGUUCCUAGGAACCGAAUAUUCGGCCCAGAUGCGGAACCAGGUGAUACCUCCAAAACGAGCGGACGACGCGGAACCGGCUCUCUUCUCGCACGCCCAGCCCUAUCGCCUCUCCUCGCUGCGCCGCCUCCCCCUCGUCUCUCUCUCUCUCUCCCUCGAUCUGCGCCGCCCCGCCCCGCCCCGCCUUCCCCCGAUUCUUUCCCUCGCCGCGGCUGACUCCUCCCCUCUUGAUCUACAGCACAUGAGGGAAGCAGGCCGUCCUUUCUCUCGAUCUGGAGCUGCGUGACGGUAGUUUUGCAGAGGGGUUGCAGCUGGGCGGCGGUGUAGGCGUGCUUCCGGCGAGCUAACAACGGCGGUAGAGGCUCCUCUCCUCAAGAUUUUGUUGCUGCAACCUCUACAAUCUACCUCAUACAUUGGUCAAGCGUGCUGCUGCUGCUGCUCCAAGGCAGGAUGCCACACUGAAGCCAAAUGCACAAAUUAUCCCAAAGAAGGCAGCAUACAUUUGUUCAGAUCAAAUCAGCUCAGAGUUAGCCAAUACCGAAUCAGUGUUUUUCUUUACCUUUGGCGUCAUGUACACAGAAAAGAAAACGCCUACGAAGAUCCUGAUUUCCGUUGUGAAGUAUUGUGGUGUAUGUUUGCAUAUUCACAUGGAAAAUGAACUUGCUAUAUUAUGAUAUUGUUGUUGAAAAUUGUGUUCUGUGUAAUAUCAUAUAUGUAUCAUGCUUGUCAAUAUAUAGUGUUAUGUUGUUGUUUUU